GACGAACGCUGGCGGCGUGCUUAACACAUGCAAGUCGAACGGAAAGGCCCUGCUUUUGUGGGGUGCUCGAGUGGCGAACGGGUGAGUAACACGUGAGUAACCUGCCCUUGACUUUGGGAUAACUUCAGGAAACUGGGGCUAAUACCGGAUAGGAGCUCCUGCUGCAUGGUGGGGGUUAGAAAGUUUCGGCGGUUGGGGAUGGACUCGCGGCUUAUCAGCUUGUUGGUGGGGUAGUGGCUUACCAAGGCUUUGACGGGUAGCCGGCCUGAGAGGGUGACCGGCCACAUUGGGACUGAGAUACGGCCCAGACUCCUACGGGAGGCAGCAGUGGGGAAUAUUGCACAAUGGGCGGAAGCCUGAUGCAGCAACGCCGCGUGCGGGAUGGCGGCCUUCGGGUUGUAAACCGCUUUCGCCUGUGACGAAGCGUGAGUGACGGUAAUGGGUAAAGAAGCACCGGCUAACUACGUG
Molecule: ribosomal RNA, 468 nt
Filed under: uncultured bacterium
Lineage: Bacteria
Description: partial 16S ribosomal RNA
Rfam family: Bacterial small subunit ribosomal RNA
Source: RNAcentral